CCUACGGGAGGCAGCAGUGAGGAAUAUUGGUCAAUGGGCGCGAGCCUGAACCAGCCAAGUAGCGUGAAGGAUGACUGCCCUACGGGUUGUAAACUUCUUUUAUAAAGGAAUAAAGUGAGGCACGUGUGCCAUUACGUAUGUACUUUAUGAAUAAGGCACGGCUAACUCUGUGCCAGCUGCCGCGGUAAUACGGAGGAUCCGAGCGUUAUCCGGAUUGAUUGGGUUUAAAGGGAGCGUAGAUGGGUUGUUAAGUAAGUUGUGAAAGUUUGCGGCUCAACCGUAGAAGUGCAGUUGAAACUGGCAGUCUUGAGUACAGUAGAGGUGGGCGGAAUUCGUGGUGUAGCGGUGAAAUGCUUAGAUAUCACGAAGAACUCCGAUUGCGAAGGCAGUUCACUGGACUGCAACUGACACUGAGGCUCGAAAGUGUGGGUAUCAAACAGGAUUAGAUACCCUGGUAGUC
RNAcentral lists this ribosomal RNA (460 nucleotides) under uncultured bacterium. RNAcentral describes it as "partial 16S ribosomal RNA". It matches the Rfam family "Bacterial small subunit ribosomal RNA", at positions 338 to 795 of the family's 1533-position model. The record is from RNAcentral.